CACUUAAAUAUAAAAAAUGUAAAGAUCCACCGCGAAGCAGUUGCAAUGUUGAUUUGUGCAGGUUGACCGCACAGCAGCAGUAGACAUUUCGUGUGAGCCCCUAAAGACUGAGGUGUGGCUUGCAACACUUCUUCAGUCUGGAGAUCUUUUCUGGCUGGUAAAUGGUUGUUUUAGGGAUUGUACAACCAUUUGUGCAACUAUAUUGCCGUAACGCAGUUCCGGGACAGUAAUUCUGCUUCCCCUUUUUUCAGAUUGUUUGUGCAGGUUAUAAUUUACAGUAAUGGU
Molecule: long non-coding RNA, 285 nt
Organism: Hippocampus comes (tiger tail seahorse)
Lineage: Eukaryota; Metazoa; Chordata; Actinopteri; Syngnathiformes; Syngnathidae
Exons: 2
Source: RefSeq, a predicted model, not a curated record